GUCAGUGUGGUGUAGUGGUUUGAGUGUUGGACCAGGACUCUGGAAGGCUAGGGUUCAAAUCCCUGCUCUGCCA
Molecule: non-coding RNA, 73 nt
Organism: Phrynosoma platyrhinos (Desert horned lizard)
Lineage: Eukaryota; Metazoa; Chordata; Lepidosauria; Squamata; Phrynosomatidae
Source: the annotation of a GenBank genome assembly